Non-coding RNA from Odocoileus virginianus texanus, 2571 nucleotides. NCBI's taxonomy places the organism in Eukaryota, Metazoa, Chordata, Mammalia, Artiodactyla, Cervidae. The record is from RefSeq and is a predicted model, not a curated record.
GGCUCUGGGAAGCAGACAAUAUUGGCCCUGGUCAGCAGCAGCUAAGCCCAAAGGAAACUACAGAGUUGAAGCGCAGACAACGUGGCGCCCCAUGGCAGAGGCGGCCCCAAAGGAGAAAGGGCUGGAGAGCAGCGCUGCUCCCCAGGAUGACUUGCAGGGCCUCCAGGACAGCGUCUUCUCCUCCGAAAGCGACAAUAGCCUGUACUUCACCUACAGCGGCCAGUCCAACACCUUGGAAGUCCGAGAUCUCAGCUACCAGGUGGAUAUGGCCUCCCAGGUACCUUGGUUUAAGCAGCUGGCUCACUUCAAGAUGCCCUGGACAUCUCACAAGGACUCCUGUGAGCAGGGCAUUCAGAACCUGAGCUUCAAAAUGAGGAGUGGACAGAUGCUGGCUGUCAUAGGGAGCUCAGGUUGUGGGAGAGCCUCUUUGCUGGACGUGAUCACCGGGCGAGGCCCUGGCGGCAAGAUUAAGUCAGGCCAAAUCUGGAUCAAUGGGCAGCCCAGCACAGCCCAGCUAGUGAGGAAGUGUGUGGCCCACGUGCGCCAGCACGACCAGCUGCUCCCCAACCUGACCGUCCGGGAGACCCUGGCUUUCAUUGCCCAGCUGCGCCUGCCCAGAAACUUCUCCCAGGCCCAGCGCGACAAAAGGGUGGACGACGUGAUCGCGGAGCUGCGGCUGCGGCAAUGCGCCAACACGCGCGUGGGCAACAUCUAUGUGCGGGGCGUGUCGGGGGGCGAGCGGCGCAGAGUCAGCAUCGGAGUGCAGCUGCUGUGGAACCCAGGAAUCCUUAUCCUGGAUGAACCCACCUCUGGGCUCGACAGCUUCACGGCCCACAACCUGGUGAAAACACUGUCCAGGCUGGCCAAAGGCAACAGGCUGGUGCUCAUCUCCAUCCACCAGCCGCGCUCUGAUAUCUUCGGGCUGUUUGAUUUGGUGCUCCUGAUGACGUCUGGCACCACCAUCUACCUGGGGGCAGCCCAGCACAUGGUUCAGUAUUUCACCGCAGUCGGCCACCCCUGUCCGCGGUACAGCAACCCUGCCGACUACUAUGUGGACUUGACCAGCAUUGACAGACGAAGCAAAGAGCAGGAAGUGGCCACCAGGGAGAAGGCUCGGGCCCUUGCGGCCUUGUUUAAAGAAAAAGCGCGUGGCUUUGAUGACUUUCUAUGGACAGCAGAGUCAAAGGAGCCGAGUGUGGGCACGUGUGUGCAGAGCCCGGCUCCUGACACCAACCCGUUCCAGGCUCCCACUAAGCUGCCCGGCCCCCUACAGCAGUUUGCCAUACUGAUCCGUCGUCAGAUUUCCAACGACUUCCGAGACCUGCCAACCCUCCUCAUCCACGUAGUGGAGGCCUGCCUGAUGUCCCUGAUCAUCGGGUUCCUCUACUACGGCCACGGGGCUGUCCAGCUCUCCUUGACGGACACGGUGGCCCUCUUGUUCAUGAUCGGAGCUCUUGUUCCUUUCAGCGUGAUCCUGGAUGUCAUCUCCAAAUGUCACUCAGAGAGGGCACUGCUUUACUAUGAACUAGAAGAUGGGCUGUACACGGCGGGGCCAUACUUCUUUGCCAAGGUGACUGGUCAGGCUUCAGAAUCCUGGGGGAGCUUCCCGAACACUGCAUCUACAUCGUCGUCUAUGGGAUGCCCAUCUACUGGCUGGCCAACCUGCGCCCAGGCCUGGAGCCCUUCCUGCUGCAUGUCCUGCUGGUGUGGCUUGUGGUCUUCUGCUGCCGGACCAUGGCCCUGGCCGCCGCCGCCCUGCUGCCCACCUUCCACAUGUCCUCCUUCUUCGGCAACGCUCUCUACAACUCCUUCUACCUGACUGGGGGCUUCAUGAUAAGCUUGGACAAUCUGUGGACAGUGCCCGCGUUGAUUUCCAAGGUGUCCUUCCUCCGAUGGUGUUUUGAAGGGCUGAUGAAUAUCCAGUUUGGUGGGCAUGCUUAUUACAUGGAAGCUGGCAACAUCACCAUCCGUAUCCCAGGAGACAUGAUCCUCAGUUCCAUGGGCCUGAACUCUUAUCCGCUCUACGCCAUCUACUUCUUUGUCAUUGGCAUCAGUGGUGGCUUCGUGAUCCUGUACUAUCUGUCCUUAAGGUUCAUCAAACAGAAAUCAAGUCAGGACUGGUGAUUCACGCCCAGACUCCUGCCUGCUGGUGGGGGACUCGAGAAGGCCCUUCAGCUGCACUCCCUUCCUCCCAAGGAGCCCCUUUCCAGGCACGGGGAGGCCCAGGACUAAGCUACAUCCAGUCCACACCGCUGCAAAGGCACAGGCUGGCCACAGGAUGGCAGUAGAAUAAAGACAGUCAGAAGGGAUCUCUGAUCACCAGCUGGAGCUUGAGUUUAUUGGGAACCUGACAACCAUACCUGGGGGACACCUACAAUGUCAUUAAUUUAUUUCCUUUUGAUACAUAUAUUUGUAUAUGCAACUAAUACAAGAUGGGAGCAAAUUAGGUAUGAAUCGAGGAGUUAGGCCAUGUGGAUACAGUAACAUAAUAGCUAGUGGAGUGUUUGGCCUCAUCUUCCAGGGUCCCCAAACUCUGAGCCAUUCUCAAUACAGAAAAUGACCUAAAACAUA